AUGUCGCUGUGCUGCUGCAGCGCCGGGAGCCGCCGCCUCCUCCUCCCGCGCGUCUUCCUCGGCCAGCGCCGCCAGGCCCGGCGCCCCCUCCUCCACCUUCGCACCACAGCGACCGCCGCCGCCUCGUCCUCCGCUACAUCUCUCUCGACGCAGCAGCAGCGCCAGGUUUCCCUCUACGUGGACGCCCUCCUCUACUGGAACCAGAGGAUGAACCUGACCGCCGUCACCGACGAGUCCGAGGUCAUGACGCGCCACGUGGUUGACUCGCUCGCCGUGCUUCCUCCACUCGAGCGCGCAUACACCUCCCGCGGCGGCGACAUUUCUGGCAUCCGCCUCGUCGAUGUUGGCUCCGGCGCCGGGCUUCCUGGUCUUAUCCUUGCUGUUGCGCGGCCAAGCUGGAAGUUUACGCUGUUGGAGUCGAUGCGGAAGCGGUGCACGUUCUUGGAGCACGCAGUUGAGGUGAUGGAGUUGUCAAAUGUGGAUGUGGUGUGUGACCGAGCUGAGAAUGCUGGCCAAAGUCAUGAUUUCAGAGAGUCAUUUGAUGUAGCAGCUGCAAGAGCUGUCGCAGAACUUAAAAUUUUAGCUGAGUACUGCCUCCCGUUGGUUCGUGUUGGUGGUUUAUUUAUAGCUGCUAAAGGGCACGAUCCUCAUGAAGAAAUAAGAAGUGCAAAAGCCGCAGUCGGUAAAUUGGGUGCCUCCAUGCUAGAUUUGUGCACUGUUGAAUCGAUGGGACCUCAUGGUCAACGAACGGCGGUUGUGUACCUCAAGGAACGCACUACUCCAAAGAAAUACCCUCGGCAACCAGGUACCCCUUCUAAGACACCAUUAUGA
This 831-nucleotide ribosomal RNA is filed under the name Triticum aestivum (bread wheat). Its description in RNAcentral is "partial small subunit ribosomal RNA". The record is from RNAcentral. Lineage: Eukaryota; Viridiplantae; Streptophyta; Magnoliopsida; Poales; Poaceae.